This 375-nucleotide ribosomal RNA is filed under the name Amynthas tappensis. RNAcentral's name for it is "partial 16S ribosomal RNA". It matches the Rfam family "Bacterial large subunit ribosomal RNA", at positions 1926 to 2541 of the family's 2925-position model. Lineage: Eukaryota; Metazoa; Annelida; Clitellata; Crassiclitellata; Megascolecidae. The record is from RNAcentral.
AACGGCCGCGGUAUCCUAACCGUGCAAAGGUAGCAUAAUCACUUGCCCAUUAAUUGUGGGCUAGUAUGAAAGGGUUAACGAAAUAAAGACUGUCUCAAUUAAUCACCUAAAAACUAUUCUCUACUUGAAGAAAAGUAGAUAUUCUCGAAGGACAAGAAGACCCUAUAGAGCUUAAUUUUACUUAUAGGCCUACACUAUAAAAAUAUUCGGUUGGGGCGACCCAGGGCUAAUUAAUCACCCAUUAAAAAAAAGAUACAUAAAUCAAAUAAAUGACCCUCAUAGAUCAAAAGACCAAGCUACCUUAGGGAUAACAGGCUAAUCCCACUUAAGAGUCCUUAUCAACAGUGGGGUUUGGCACCUCGAUGUUGGCUUAGG